GACGAACGCUGGCGGCGUGCCUAAUACAUGCAAGUUGAGCGCUGAAGGUUGGUACUUGUACCUAUUGGAUGAGCAGCGAACGGGUGAGUAACGCGUGGGGAAUCUGCCUUUGAGCGGGGGACAACAUUGGGAAACGAAUGCUAAUACCGCAUAAUAACUUUAAACACAAGGUUUAAGAUUGAAAGAUGCAAUUGCUUCACUCAAAGAAGAUACCGCGUUGUCUUAGCUAGUUGGUGAGGUAAAGGCCCACCAAGGCGAAGAUACAUAGCCGACCUGGUGGGGGGGUCGGCCCCAUCGGGACUGAGACCCGGCCCAAACCCCUACCGGGAGCAGCAGGAGGGAAACUUCGGCCAUGGACGGAAAGCCGACCGAGGCACGCCGGGGUAGUGAAUGAAGUUUUCGGGUCGUAAAACUCUUUUUGUAGGGAAGGACGAUAUUUGUAAUUAAAAGCUCAUCAAGUGACGGUAACUACCCAGAAAGAGACGGCUAACUACGUG
RNAcentral lists this ribosomal RNA (497 nucleotides) under uncultured bacterium. Its description in RNAcentral is "partial 16S ribosomal RNA". It matches the Rfam family "Bacterial small subunit ribosomal RNA", at positions 28 to 507 of the family's 1533-position model. The record is from RNAcentral.